Molecule: ribosomal RNA, 303 nt
Filed under: uncultured fungus
Lineage: Eukaryota; Fungi
Description: eukaryotic LSU rRNA
Rfam family: 5.8S ribosomal RNA (bases 1-52)
Source: RNAcentral
AACGCACCUUGCGCUCUCUGGUAUUCCGGAGAGCAUGCCUGUUUGAGUGUCAUGAACUCUUCAACCCACCUGUUCCUUGUUGAACUGCCGUGGUGCUUGGAUUCUGAACGCUUUGCUAUGUACUUAGCUCGUUCGUAAUACAUUAGCAUCUCAAUUUCGUAAUCGGAUUGACUCAGCGUAAUAGACUAUUCGCUGAGGACACUCUCAAGAGUGGCCGAGACAUGAAGAGUUAGAAGCCUCCAGCCCAUCUAGUCAUAUUCAAGAUUAGACCUCAGAUCAGGCAGGAUUACCCGCUGAACUUAA